Molecule: ribosomal RNA, 326 nt
Filed under: uncultured Bacteroidota bacterium
Lineage: Bacteria; Pseudomonadati; Bacteroidota
Description: bacterial SSU rRNA
Rfam family: Bacterial small subunit ribosomal RNA
Source: RNAcentral
GAUUAACGCUAGCGGCAGGCCUAAUACAUGCAAGUCGAACGGGAUUAGAUGUAGCAAUACAACUAUGAGAGUGGCGCACGGGUGCGUAACACGUAUGCAACCUACCUAUAACUGGGGGAUAGCCUCCCGAAAGGGAGAUUAACACCGCAUAACACUAUGAAGUGGCAUCACUUUAUAUUUAAAUCUACGGAGGUUAUAGAUGGGCAUGCGUCCGAUUAGCUAGUUGGUGAGGUAACGGCUCACCAAGGCUCCGAUCGGUAGGGGGUCUGAGAGGAUGAUCCCCCACACUGGUACUGAGACACGGACCAGACUCCUACGGGAGGCAG